Long non-coding RNA from Medicago truncatula (barrel medic), 1606 nucleotides. RefSeq lists it as uncharacterized. The transcript is spliced from 2 exons. Lineage: Eukaryota; Viridiplantae; Streptophyta; Magnoliopsida; Fabales; Fabaceae. The record is from RefSeq and is a predicted model, not a curated record.
UCACUUCACUCAAAAAUUCCACAUGUUCCUAUCUCUUUAUCAUCUACUCUCUCUCUCUCUCUCUCUCUCUCUCUCUCUCCCUCCCUCCCUCCCUCCCUCCCUCCCUCCCUCCCUCCCUCUCUCUCUCUCAAGUUUGUCAUGUCCACAUAUCUUAUACAACGCCUAGAUACUACAAUAUUUCACACGCCUCCACUAGAGUGAGGUGUUCUUUACUAAGCAUUUACUCUUGGAUAUUCAAGAUAGAAAUUGUGAGGAGUAGGUGAAAAGAGAAAGUGCUCCAAAGGAGUGUGCGAAGAGAUACUUUGACUUGGUGGUGUUAAAUGAGUUUGGUGUAAACCAGUGAACAUGUCUUAGUAAAGAACAAGAGAAAACUUUAUCUUUGUUCACUAUUCACUAUUCACUUCACUAUUCACUUCACCUUUGUUCACUUUAUCUUUUAAAUAUAUAUGCAUGACUAUUGUUGUAAAUUUGUGAAAUAUUAUGUGAAUAUAUAUAUAUAUAGAGAGAGAGAGAAUACAUACAUGUGCAUAUACUUAUCUUUUUCAAUCUUCUUCUUGCAUCAAUGACAAGCUUAAAGGAAUCCCCAAGAACAUUGGUGCUGUCUUUUUGGUUGCAGUUCAAGGUGGAAAAACCCAACAAGGAUAAUUGUGUACCUUAUGGCGUCAUAAUGAUGUCUUAGGUAAGAUUUUCAAUGAUUCUUUGAUCAUAAGCAAUAUGAUUACAAAGCAUCUGCACCAGCAGAGAAGCCAUCUAGAAAAAUUUAUGAUUGUGACUUACAAAAGCGACGUCGUUUGGGAUUGGUAUAUAUCUAUUGAAGUUGAAGAUUGAAGAAUCAUUCAAUCCUCAACCCCAAUUGACACCAAUUUCAAAUGACGCCUCUUUUAUUAAUCACAAUCACAAACUUUUCUGAAGUUUAUCUUUAGAUGCAAAUGUUUGUAAUCCUAUUACUUAUGAUCAAAGAAUCAUUUAAAAUCCAACCUCAGACAUUGUUGUUAAGAUUCCACAAGGUAAGAAACUAUUCUUGUUGGAAUUGUAUGCCGCAGAUGCUGCUACCAAAACGACAUCAUCAAUGUUUCUUGGAGGAUUUCUACAAGCUUGGCGGUUGUGCAAGAAGAAUAUUGAAGAAGAAAGGUAUAUGUAUGGGUAUGUAUUGUUUCUCUUAUUUCGUUAUUUCAUAGAUUUACAACAUUAAUCAUGCAUAUAUCUAAAAGGUGAAGUGAACAAAUGUGAAGUGAUAAGUGAACGACAAUAACAAAGACACACAUGAAAUAUUAGUUCACCCCACUUUUAUAGUUCACUCCAAUAACAACGACAAUAACAACAUUAAUCAUGCAUUAUCUUUUUGUGCAGAUGAUAUAUGGUGGUUUCUAGCAUUUUAGAGGGCUAGAAUUCAUACAAGAACAAGUCCUGCAAAUCUGCUAUGGAAAAUUUCUCCUACCAUAUAUAUUUUAAGAUAAUGUUUUGUAUAGACAUAAUUCUUAUUGGUUUUAUUUGGUAGUUAUUCCUCUUUUGAUAUAUAUCCACACCAAUAUAUAAAAAGGAUAUAUCACUUUGGGUUUGAUAUAUAUCCACACCAAUAUAUAAAAAUGAUAUAUCAUUUUGGGUA